This 207-nucleotide ribosomal RNA is filed under the name uncultured delta proteobacterium. RNAcentral describes it as "partial 16S ribosomal RNA". It matches the Rfam family "Bacterial small subunit ribosomal RNA", at positions 568 to 774 of the family's 1533-position model. The record is from RNAcentral. Lineage: Bacteria; Deltaproteobacteria.
CGUGUAGGCGGCUCGGAAAGUCGGAUGUGAAAGCCCUGGGCUUAACCUAGGAAGUGCAUUCGAAACUCCCGAGCUUGAGUUCUGGAGAGGAAGGCGGAAUUCUCGGUGUAGAGGUGAAAUUCGUAGAUAUCGAGAGGAACACCGGUGGCGAAGGCGGCCUUCUGGACAGUGACUGACGCUGAGACGCGAAAGCGUGGGGAGCAAACA